GUAAACGGCUGCAUAAAUCUGAGUGUACUAAGGUAGCGCUAUAAUUUGCCCUUCAAAUGGGGGCUGGUAUGAACGGGUUCACGUGAGAGUUGCUGUGUCAUAAAAAUUUUUUGAAAUUAACUUUUAGGUGAAGAGGCCUAAUUAAGAUUGUAGGACGACAAGACCCUAGAAGCUUUACUGAGGGUGAGUUACAGGUUAAUUUAUUUCGGUUUUGUUGGGGCAACAUAGUUAGAAAGUAUAACUUGUUUUUAUAAACUUACAAGUUAAAACCACAUCGGUGAAUAAGAUAAGUUACUCUAGGGAUAACAGCGUUAUUUUUUUUAAUAGUUCGUAUUGUAAAAAAAGUUUGCGACCUCGAUGUUGGACUAAGGUGUCCUUAAGGCGCAGAAGUCUUAAAGGGUUGGCCUGUUCGUCCAUUAAAACCUUACA
This 429-nucleotide ribosomal RNA is filed under the name Idas sp. ESU M. RNAcentral's name for it is "partial 16S ribosomal RNA". It matches the Rfam family "Bacterial large subunit ribosomal RNA", at positions 1923 to 2600 of the family's 2925-position model. The record is from RNAcentral. Lineage: Eukaryota; Metazoa; Mollusca; Bivalvia; Mytilida; Modiolidae.